Xenopus laevis (African clawed frog) is the source of this 400-nucleotide long non-coding RNA. RefSeq lists it as uncharacterized. The record is from RefSeq and is a predicted model, not a curated record. The transcript has 4 exons. NCBI's taxonomy places the organism in Eukaryota, Metazoa, Chordata, Amphibia, Anura, Pipidae.
CAGUAACCUGUUGCAUCCAGCAGAAAAAAGCCAACGGGACAGAAAGUCAUUGGGGACAAGAUGUGGUGGAUACUGUCAUCAAUAUCAAGGCAGGUGAAGAAACAUCCUGGAUUGAUUCCAUUAAUUGGCUUUACUGGACUGGGAAUUACCAACGCAACUCUCUACGUGAUAAAGCUUACCCUGUUCAACCCAGAUAUAAGUUGGGUGAAGAAGAAGGAACCAGAGCCUUGGUAUAAAUUAGACAGAGCUCUGGAGAGGAGGUGAAGGCCAUGAGAUGUUUUAAUAAUGGAACAGGAUCUGAAACCCUCCUGUCUGUGAAGUCAUUGGCCUAUCAUAACUGAAGGACACAGCAAUUUGAAGAUAAAGUUCCUUUUUUUUUUAAACACUAAUUUUUCUGCCA